This 31-nucleotide non-coding RNA is filed under the name Homo sapiens (human). Lineage: Eukaryota; Metazoa; Chordata; Mammalia; Primates; Hominidae. The record is from RNAcentral.
UCACAGCCAAGGGCACAAUCUUCAUACUCCA